This 600-nucleotide ribosomal RNA is filed under the name Corynebacterium striatum. RNAcentral describes it as "partial 23S ribosomal RNA". It matches the Rfam family "Bacterial large subunit ribosomal RNA", at positions 1 to 561 of the family's 2925-position model. Lineage: Bacteria; Bacillati; Actinomycetota; Actinomycetes; Mycobacteriales; Corynebacteriaceae. The record is from RNAcentral.
UGUUCGUUAUUUAGGGCGCAUGGUGGAUGCCUUGGCAUGCUGAGCCGAUGAAGGACGUGAAAGGCUGCGUUAAGCCUCGGGGAGUUGUCAAUUGAGCGUUGAUCCGAGGAUGUCCGAAUGGGGAAACCUGGCACCUGUUAUGGGGUGUUACCCUUCAGUGAAUUCAUAGCUGUUGUGGGGGUUACGCGGGGAAGUGAAACAUCUCAGUACCCGUAGGAAGAGAAAAUAAUAAUGAUUCUGCUAGUAGUGGCGAACGAACGUGGAUGAGGCUAAACCGUGUGCAUGUGAUACCUGGUAGGGGUUGUGUGUGCGGUGUUGUGGGCCCUGAUGAGGAUGGCUACUGACGUCCUGCCCGCGCAUUGUUGUUAGGUGAAGUGGUGUGGAAACGCCUGCCGUAGAAGGUGAUAGUCCUGUAGCUGAAGAUGAUGGUGUGUGGGUUGUUGGGUUGCCCGAGUAGCAGCGGGCUCGUGGAAUCUGCUGUGAAUCUGCCGGGACCACCCGGUAAGCCUAAAUACUCAGUGUGACCGAUAGUGGAUAGUACCGUGAGGGAAUGGUGAAAAGUACCCCGGGAGGGGAGUGAAAUAGUUCCUGAAACCAUGU